UCGCCGCGCGGCCUGGCGCCAGCCGGCGCCGCGCUAUACGCGCGGGGUACUGUCGAAGUACGCGCGGACGGUGAGUUCGGCCUCCACCGGGGCGGU
This 96-nucleotide transfer RNA is filed under the name Halomonas lysinitropha. RNAcentral describes it as "Halomonas sp. 3(2) tRNA-Tyr". Lineage: Bacteria; Pseudomonadati; Pseudomonadota; Gammaproteobacteria; Oceanospirillales; Halomonadaceae. The record is from RNAcentral.